Molecule: long non-coding RNA, 1614 nt
Organism: Canis lupus familiaris (dog)
Lineage: Eukaryota; Metazoa; Chordata; Mammalia; Carnivora; Canidae
Exons: 3
Source: RefSeq, a predicted model, not a curated record
ACCUUUAUCUUCAGCCCAGAGCUGUCUUCUGAGCUUUGGACGAAUAUAUUCAUUCAUACGUACACUCACUCACUCAACAGAUAGAGCCCCUGCCAUGUGUCAGGUGCUGUUCUCAGUAACAAAACAACAAGCCCCUGCUCUUGUGGGGCUUGACCGUGUAGUGGAGAUAAAUACUCUACGAGGAAACUAGGUCCCUCCAGGCAGGAUACCAUCUGCCAGAAAACAUGUUCCCAUCCCUUUCUUACUUUUCUUGCUUUGUGAGACAAAAAGUAAUUAUGAAGAUUUUGAGUUGUAUCAGAACAGCAUGCUGAUGGAUAUUUUUAGAUACAUAAAUGGCCCAGGUGUGGGGUCCCAAAUCUGACUUUAAAGAACAAGCUUUCCUCUAAAUUCCCCAAAGGAAAUAUAAGCAUAGAAGACAAAAUAAGGCCAAGGAGCCUUUGUUCCUGGUGUAGGCUUUGCCUCAAACCCUGCUGCAGAGCUGAGGAGGUCUCCCUUGGCUUUGAUGGGUGACCUUCUCCUCUCUAGGUAAGCCCAACCUCAGAUCCUAGAGCUGUUGCCAUGUGAGGAAGGGUGAGAGUACUCAGGGGAGUGGAGAGGUACACAAUGAGGAGAAUGUGAGCCCUAGAAUCCAGAGCAGAAGUGAUCUGGGAGGCCCAUCCAGCAGUGGGAACAUCACCAGCCCAGGAUAAGUAAGUAACUGCUGAAUCCAGGACCGAAGGAAGAUCACAAGCCUAGCACUGUGGACCAAUUUUGACUCUUAUCAUCCUCAUUAUGGAAGGAAGAGGAGAGCAGAAAAUCAGAUAGGAGUCUGGUCCAACUUGAGACUGAUACGCUGCUGGGCACUGCUGGUCUCGGUUGCUAAACCACUGCUACAAUGGCUCCACCACCUUGGAGCCUCCCCCUGCAAGACCUCCACCAAGCCACACUGCUAAAGAUGCCCCUACUGCUUUGAGCCACAUCGCCAGUGACACCGGUGGUUCUCCUCCCUUCUUCCGAGUCUUCUCUUUCCCCAAGGACUUUUCCUUGUGAAUUCACUCUGGCAACUAAUGUGUUCAAUCGAACUAUACUGAAAAAAAAAAAAAAAAAGUUCAAAAUCUCUUCCAGCGUGAGAAGAAUGCUCCUGCCCAGGGUGAUGCACUGGGUAGGUGGCUGGGUGAAGUCCUAAUCAGGACCACUUGGGCUCCUGAAACACUAUACAGUUUUGUGAAAAUGGCUUACUUUUUAGCCAUUUUAAGCCUUUCACAAUUUUGCUGUUCUUUCAAAAAUACACAGUGUUAUAAAAGUAAUACGUAUUCAAUGUAGAACAUCUGGAACACACAGAAAAGUAGAGAGACAAAAAUCAUCUAUAAUUCACCACUCGUGUGAACACUGUUAAUACUUUUCUAUGUAUAUUUUAACCUAAUUAAGAAUCAAACUAUUUCUACAGUUCAUAUCCUGCUAUGAUAAGUUAAUAUUAUUUGGGGAUUAUUGUCAGGUUUAAAUUUUCUAGAAACCCUAUUUUAAUGGCUAUGUAUUUUUCUGUAGAUAUAUCAUAAUGUAACCAUCAACUAUUGUUGAUUAUCUAGAGUAUUCCCGUUUUGCUCUUAUAAAUAAUACGUGCUAUGCAUCCUUAAA